GGGCGCAAGCCUGAUGCAGCGACGCCGCGUGCGGGAUGGAGGCCUUCGGGUUGUAAACCGCUUUUGUUCAAGGGCAAGGCACGGCUUCGGGCCGUGUUGAGUGGAUUGUUCGAAUAAGCACCGGCUAACUACGUGCC
This 137-nucleotide ribosomal RNA is filed under the name uncultured bacterium. RNAcentral describes it as "partial 16S ribosomal RNA". It matches the Rfam family "Bacterial small subunit ribosomal RNA", at positions 373 to 509 of the family's 1533-position model. The record is from RNAcentral.